RNAcentral lists this ribosomal RNA (384 nucleotides) under Triticum aestivum (bread wheat). Its description in RNAcentral is "partial small subunit ribosomal RNA". The record is from RNAcentral. Lineage: Eukaryota; Viridiplantae; Streptophyta; Magnoliopsida; Poales; Poaceae.
AUGUCCUAUUUUAUAUUCCAAACAGUAUGGUAUAGUAUCUUACCUUAUGGGCGGGACAGGACGAGAAACAUGACCAUUAUAACAUUGACAGUAUCAAUGACGAGGUACUCUCAUCAAAGAAAGAGAGUUUAUAUUUUUAAAUGUUUGAACAGACAUGCACUAGCACCUUGGUGCUACAAUGCCCCAUAUGCAUCUCUGAACAUAAUUAGUUUUUUAUUAAAGCUAGCCAAGCAAGGAAAUUAUGUUACUGACAUUCAAAUUUUAGUGAACCAAUGGGACUCAAAAUCUACAGGAAAAACUGAAAAAGAACGGCAUGCAAAAAUAGGAGAAGAAUCAAUAGAAGACAAGAGGAUUAGGAAAGCACCUGGAAGGAACACAAGAUAG